This 273-nucleotide ribosomal RNA is filed under the name uncultured bacterium. RNAcentral describes it as "partial 16S ribosomal RNA". It matches the Rfam family "Bacterial small subunit ribosomal RNA", at positions 524 to 796 of the family's 1533-position model. The record is from RNAcentral.
AACGUAGGGGUCGAGCGUUAUCCGGAAUUACUGGGCGUAAAGCGCGUGCAGGCGGUUUCUCAAGUCGGACGUGAAAGCUCCUGGCUCAACUGGGAGAGGUCGUUCGAAACUGAGGGACUAGAGGAUGGUAGAGGCGAGUGGAAUUCCCGGUGUAGUGGUGAAAUGCGUAGAUAUCGGGAGGAACACCAGAGGCGAAAGCGGCUCGCUGGGCCAUCACUGACGCUCAGACGCGAAAGCUAGGGGAGAGAACGGGAUUAGAAACCCCCGUAGUCC